RNAcentral lists this RNase P RNA (417 nucleotides) under Armatimonadota bacterium. RNAcentral describes it as "RNase P RNA component class A". It matches the Rfam family "Bacterial RNase P class A". From Rfam's summary of the family: Ribonuclease P (RNase P) is a ubiquitous endoribonuclease, found in archaea, bacteria and eukarya as well as chloroplasts and mitochondria. Its best characterised activity is the generation of mature 5'-ends of tRNAs by cleaving the 5'-leader elements of precursor-tRNAs. Cellular RNase Ps are ribonucleoproteins. The record is from RNAcentral. Lineage: Bacteria; Bacillati; Armatimonadota.
UGAACGAGACAGGCGCUCGCCCCGAUUUAUCGGGGAGGAAAGUCCGGGCUCCACAGGGCAAGGCGCUCGCUAACGGCGAGGGUCCCGAGCGAUCGGGAUACGGAAAGCGCCACAGAAAAGAAAACGCCCCGGCAGUCUCCUCCAGGUAAGGUACCUGGAGGGAUAUGUAAUACAUUCCUCCGCGCACUUUACCUGGAGGAGGCAAUUCGGAGCAAAGCUGAAACGGUGGUGUAAGAGACCACCAGCGGUGUGGUGACACACCGGCUUGGCAAGCCCCGCCUGGAGCAAGGCCGUAUAGGGGAGGGAUGAAGCUGCCCGCUGACCUCCCGGGUUAAGGCCGCACGAGGGCCCGAGCAAUCGUGCCCCUAGAGAGAUGAGCGUCCGCGACAGAACCCGGCUUAUCGUCUCGUUCACUCU